UAAUAGCUUUCUUAUUGAUUUAUAAGGUUUUGGUGUUAUGUGUCUUUUUUUUUUUUUUAAGACAGGAAGAAUGAGUCUUGGAAAAGAGAAGAAAAUCAUUAUGAAAAAUCAGCCCAGGCAUAGAAGUCAAUUCAGACAGAGCUUGGGAGUGCUGCUAAAUAUGAGAGAGUGCGGUAUGGUGCAUUCAUGUUCAGUCGUGUCCAACUCUUUGUGAC
This 215-nucleotide long non-coding RNA is filed under the name Capra hircus (goat). RNAcentral describes it as "lncRNA (ENSCHIG00000002562.1)". Lineage: Eukaryota; Metazoa; Chordata; Mammalia; Artiodactyla; Bovidae. The record is from RNAcentral.